UCAUGGCUGAGCCAUCUGACUCUCCAAAUUAUAAGGACCAACUUGGGAGUUUUAUCGCAUUUCUGCCGCCCAGGCAUGAAGUCAGCUGGACGGCGCGUGACAGGGAGUGUUCCUCUUGUAAUUAAUCGGGGUGUGCGUUUUUUUUUCAUCUUCUGCCUAAAUUCAGCGUGCUGUGAGCGUGCGCGCUCCCUCGGAGCUACCCUGCGCAGUAGCGGAGCAAUUAAUGACGCCCCAGCACCCCGAAGACCCCCCCAAGUUUUAAAAGUUUGCCCUGCUGCCUGCUGUCCUCCACGGAGAAGCUGCCAGUGGGCCUCAGAACUCUUCCUGGGUUAGUUUGCCCCAGCACGUGCAUAGCCUCAAAUGGCUCCUUGGGCAGCCUCUGGACUCUGGCUCUCGGAUCUUAACUGGCUGCUGGCACCCCAGAUGCAGAAACUCAUAUUACAGAAAAGUGAGGUUGGUAUUCUGUGAUGAUCCUGCAUUCAAAGGACAAUUUGAAUUGCUGGCAUUGGAAAAAGAGCCAUUGGAAGUAGCAGGAGAAGGAAAAACCAUCAUCAUACAACUGGUAGAAAGAAGUUCCCAAGAGUGAGAGUCUGAUUGGCCAACCUCAUUCCUGGGCUUCUGGAAGCACAACCGGAGGGAACGGCUGAAUUGUGAUGCAGGAAGCAGCCAAAGGAGGAUGCAGGAGAAACGGAGCCGAGUGUCAG
Molecule: long non-coding RNA, 704 nt
Organism: Balaenoptera acutorostrata (minke whale)
Lineage: Eukaryota; Metazoa; Chordata; Mammalia; Artiodactyla; Balaenopteridae
Exons: 5
Source: RefSeq, a predicted model, not a curated record